RNAcentral lists this non-coding RNA (221 nucleotides) under Azotobacter vinelandii. The record is from RNAcentral. Lineage: Bacteria; Pseudomonadati; Pseudomonadota; Gammaproteobacteria; Pseudomonadales; Pseudomonadaceae. RNAcentral also lists the same sequence under 1 other name.
CCUGCGCGCCUCGCUUCAGGUGCCCCAAGGGUGAAACAGGGAAGCCGGUGCGUGCCGCGACCAUUCGCGGCGCAAGGCCGGCGCUGCCCCCGCAACGGUAGACGAGUCGCGAAACCGCAAUAGCCACUGUGUUGCUCGGACACGGGAAGGCGCGGUUUCGGAAGCCGCCGCAUGGCGCUUCGCUCGUGAGCCCGGAGACCGGCCUGUGGCGAUCCAUGGCG